CCCAGCAUGGCAUAGUGGUUUGAGUGCUGGACUCUGACUCUGGAAACAGGGUUCAAUUCCCAGCUCUGCCA
Molecule: transfer RNA, 71 nt
Filed under: Phrynosoma platyrhinos (Desert horned lizard)
Lineage: Eukaryota; Metazoa; Chordata; Lepidosauria; Squamata; Phrynosomatidae
Description: tRNA-OTHER
Source: RNAcentral